AUCAGGUUUAACUAAACUACAGCGAGCUGCAAAGCAAAUUGAUUCUAAGACUGAGACCAAGAUUGACGAGAAUCAAAAUCGUAUUUUCCUUUGGAUCGCUUUAUUAGUCGCCAGCUUCUGUUUUUUGAUGCUCUUCACCUCCAUAUUAGUCCAAAGAUGGGUCGUGUCUGGAGCAAAGCAUGAAAAUCCUGAGUUUGAUGGAUUUGUUCAGAUCGGCAUUUAUACCGGCAAGAAAAGCUUUAAUGUCGGGCAAGGUUGGAACACCACGGAUUUUCAAAUUGGAGAGUUGGUGCUCAUGGAAGGCGGAGAAAUCGGUCUAAAUGCUGACAACCUUUGGGGAACAGUGAUCACAAUGUACACCUGCAUUAUUCUAGAAGUCAGUGCCAUCAUCCUUGCAAUUCCGGUGCUCUUCUGCCCUGCUGAACUCAUUCUCGGUUUACGUGGCUUGAGCGUGGUUAAUUUCCUCUGUUUCUUAGCUAACGUGGCUACGUUAAUCUGUUGGAUGUGUGCCUAUUUCAACGCCUUCCAGUACAACGUGUUACCCCAAGCUGAAUUGAAUGACAUGUGGAGUUCGACCGGACAAGCAUAUUUUGGAUUUUCUU
Long non-coding RNA from Cloeon dipterum, 602 nucleotides. RefSeq lists it as uncharacterized. The record is from RefSeq and is a predicted model, not a curated record. The transcript has 3 exons. NCBI's taxonomy places the organism in Eukaryota, Metazoa, Arthropoda, Insecta, Ephemeroptera, Baetidae.